GUUCAUAUCCCACCCUUCUCACUCUCAUUUAUUUGUGUGUGAGGCGUGUGUGUGGGGAUAAAUCGCAGUCUCGCCCCGUCAAACGGACGAGUCUGCCGAAGUCAACAAGGUGCCUCAAAGUGUGGUGUUCGGUCUCUCGGGAUCGUUCAUCAUCUCAAGCCGCACUCGAAUAMACAUCUCGUAKGUCUUUCGACCUMGA
Molecule: unclassified non-coding RNA, 199 nt
Filed under: uncultured Chloromonas
Lineage: Eukaryota; Viridiplantae; Chlorophyta; Chlorophyceae; Chlamydomonadales; Chlamydomonadaceae
Description: partial contains ITS2 and 28S rRNA
Source: RNAcentral